AUAUGGCAUGUUAUUUGAAGGACAUGCCCGUUAUUGCAAGGACUGGUUUUGUUUCAGAAAGGACAAUCUACAAAUACAAUUUCAUUUAAAUUCUUUAUUUGUAACUGUAACUUGACAAUUAACACAAAACUACUGAUUACAACUAACACAUCAUUUCAAGAAAUCAUUUUGGUUUAUUGUGUCACAAACAUAAUCCCAUAUCUUAAAGUUUGAAAAAUAAGGUUACAGAACUGACAACAUUGUUCCUGUUAGGACAACACAGCGAAUUAAAAUAAACACUCCAAAUUUUAAAUGAUAUUACAAACUGUCAUAGAACUCUUAACUUUAAACAACAACUUUGUCACUAAAAAUGAUAAAAAUCAACAACAUGGAGUUUAAAAACUCAACAAAUAAGCUUUGUUAUUGUAAGGAACAUAAUAACCAUUUAUUUUAGUAAUGGCUAAAUCAUUUGAACUGCUAAAACUAUUUUUUGCACUUCAAAAGUGCUGCUUGAAACAAAGCUCCAUUAACUGUGAAAUGGUGAGUAUUCGGCACGGAGAUUGGGUCUGGUAUGACAGUCAUAAUGUUUUGUUUGUCCCUAGUUGGUGCAUACACAAAAUUUCAGCUUCUGGAUUCUCAACAUCCUUGACCUAUUCUGGAUACGGCCUUCCAUUGAAAAUCACUAUAACAUAUCGAUUCAAACACUCAUGUAUGUCAGGCACAAAAUAUUCAUAGCUGUCGUCACUUUUCGUUUCAUUUUCUGUACAAGCGCUGUCUUUGUUUUCUCUUUUUUCACCAUUUUCAUCACUUUUAACAUCACUCUUUUUCCUCUGAUCACUGCUGUUUUUAUCAACAUCACCAUUCUUUUCUCUCUUAUCACCAAGAUCACUAUAAUAUGUAUUCUUUGAAUCAUUCUUACUGUCAAUUCUUUCACUUUUGUUCUUACAUUUUUCACCAUUAUUUUCGCCAUUAAUAUCAGUGUUUUUAUUGUUAUUUACAUUCUCUUUAAGAUUGUUUUCAUUGUUGUUCACAUCGUUUCUACAGUCGUGUGUUAAUGGAAGAAGAGGAACAAGAUGAUUUGGAGACCAAUUUGAUUCUGGAAUGUCAUCUCUUGUGUUUGUCCACAAAAUGUAAAUUACAUCAUACUUUAUGUCUGUCCUCGGUAAUAUCAAUCGAUUGAGAUCUUGCCGAACAUUGGGAUUUCCUUUCUCAGGAUACACGCUUCUAAUCGGGGCAUUAAGAACACUUGACAGGGCAAAAACCUGGAAAAUACCCAUGUAUGAUCUAUUUUUUGUCAAAGACAUUAUUUCUUUUCUAAAUAUGUCUUUAAUAAUAUCUUGCUCUAGGGCCAUUCCAGGAAUGAAAAAGUCUGAAUAUUGAGCACAGUGUUUGGCUUGGUCCUUUUGACUAGAACAUCCUCCAUUGAGGAACUCGUUACUCAGGUAUCAGGUAAAUACCCUUGUUUUCAUGCAAUUCCUUAAUAAUUCUUGUUAUUAUUUCUUCAGUACGUUCUCGGGUACCAAAGGCAAACACACUUCCACAUGAUGGUAAACAAUUACCAUCUGCAAUGACCUCAACAGGAUACAGUUCUGAACUAUCUAAAUCACUAGGCAUACCAAAAAAUGCAUCAAAAUCUAUUUCAAGUUUAUUUUCAUAAACACUUAUCUCAUCAGGUUUUACUCUACAUGUCAUUUCAGGUAACGCAGAUAAAGUAUCACCUACUUCUGUGAAGGUUUGACACAAGUUCAAACGCCUUAGUAAAUCUUCAUUAUCUAUUUUCUGAUCAGACUGCCCUUUGUCUGGGCUAAAUUUGGAACUACGUGCCUUGUUGUGACGAGUACAUUUUGUUUGAAUCUCCUUUGGUAUUGGUUGUUGAAUUUCAAUCCCUUUUGAUGCCGUUUUCCUUCUUUUCUGGCAUUCAGUAACUUUUGUAUCUGUUUACCGUUUCAAUCCUUUGGUUCGAUUAUAUGUACCUAUAUUAGUCUGUUUGACCUUUUCGUCUGUUAAUGACGUGCUUUGAUACUCAUGAUCUUUGUGUUCAAUUCCUAUUUCACAGUCACAGCUCAAGUUUCUAAAGGCUAUUUGUCCUUCUGAUAUAAUCUUUACUUGAUGAAGACUCAAUGUUCCGGGUACAGCUCUCAAAGGUGCUUUUAACAGGUCCUUUAUUUCCUAGAUGUCUGGUUCUGUCACUAAGUACAUGUUAACUUUUGACUCUUUAGUUAAAACCCCUAUGAAAGUCUUGGCUGAUGUGAUGUCACUGCCAUAUUUUAAUUUAUUGUCUGCCUGUCGUUUAGGUGCACCUCCAAUUGCAUUAUGGGAUACCCUUACCAUGCCCACUUUCAAAAAAUGACCAAAGUACAGUUUGAAAACCAAAAGACUUUGCCCUUAGUGUUUCUAAGUAAAAGUUUGCCUUUUGGCAGUACUGGGUGACAGGGCCAUCACUGAAUAUUUCUAUAUAUAUGACCUUUGGAUACUUCUUCCGUAUUUCAGCCAGAAUAGGAGCAAGAUGAGCCCAAACAGCUUCUGGUCCAUGUACGAGAGAGUCACUUUCUGUGCAGAAGCACUACCAAGUUGAGACUCUGAAGAUUGGAGACGAAGUGGAAUGUCUUCUAGUGAAGCGAUGUAGGUCUUUUAUGGCCCUUCAACUUGCGUCAUGCUCAUUAAAGAAGUAGCUUGAAGACUGGCGACUAUGGUACUGUCAGAUGGUCCAUUCGGUAUUUUUCCCAAACCAAUGUUCCUAAGUUCCAUGUAAUUGAAGUGACGCAUCUGAGCUAUAUUAUUUAUAGAAGGGUUUCGGGACCCAGGCAACGCCAGACACUGGAACGCGUCCAAGAGGUAACUCUGGGAUAGAGGGAAGCUGAAGAAAGCUCCCAACGUAUAUUCUGUGGCCUCCUACUCCAUCAAUUUAUCCUCUGGUGACAUCAGUUGCCAGUAAGCUGGGAGCCACAAACUCAAAGGGCCAGUGACAGGCAAUGCUACAGGUGUAGCAAGCGUCCAAUUACGUCUGUCUGGUGGAAAAAUGGGCAUCCCUCAAGAGCGAAGUAGGGCCAUGGCACUUUCCUUGAUUAAAAAGUGGGCAUCUGGAGAUACACGAGACAAUACUGAGCCAGGACUUUGGGGCAUCAGUAGUCUUCUUUGUGCCACAGGCGAGGAAUUCGGCAAGAUCUACAACACUGGAGACUUUUGUGCAGGACUUUUUACAAAUGACUAAAUGUAUAAACUGUUUAACAAAUUAAAUUGAGGUGCUUUAUUUUCUGAUGUUUGAUUUAUUUUUCCUUUCAGAUGAUUUAUAUUUGUGUGAUUCUAGGAUUAAAUAAAUAAUUCUGAAACAUUUAUGCAGCAUGCUGUUACAUUAUUGUUAACGUUAUAUUAUGUUGGUUAUCUGGUUUAUCAAGUGGAAAAAAUUAUUUAAAUAUAAAGCUUUAAAUAUUAAGACUUAUGAAGGUACUUAUUGUUAUUUAGGUAUUAACAUACUUCUCAGAAUAAUAAAAAUAUAGUAAAUGCUA
Molecule: long non-coding RNA, 3485 nt
Organism: Dreissena polymorpha
Lineage: Eukaryota; Metazoa; Mollusca; Bivalvia; Myida; Dreissenidae
Exons: 2
Source: RefSeq, a predicted model, not a curated record